Molecule: long non-coding RNA, 244 nt
Filed under: Daucus carota (carrot)
Lineage: Eukaryota; Viridiplantae; Streptophyta; Magnoliopsida; Apiales; Apiaceae
Description: long non-coding RNA (DCAR_LNC000037)
Source: RNAcentral
AAAUAAAUUAUAUUAAUUUAUUAGAAUGUAAAUAAAUUAUCUUGGUAUAGAUAUGAAUACAUUUAACUCUUUUGAAAUUAUAUAAUAUUAAAAAAAUCGAAUAUAAAAUUAAUCACACACAUUUCCAUUCCGUUUCUGCAACAAAACCAAACAAGUAAAACAAUUCAGGAUCAUUCCUUUCCUUUCUCUGCAUUUCCCCUUCUGGAUUCCAUUCCGUUUCCCCGAAGCGAACCAAACGGCCCCU